UGGACCCUACGGGACGCAGCAGUAGGGAAUCUUCCGCAAUGGGCGAAAGCCUGAUGGAGCAACGCCGCGUGGGUGAAGAAGGUUUUCGGAUCGUAAAACCCUGUUGUUAGAGAAGAAAGUGCGUGAGAGUAACUGUUCACGUUUCGACGGUAUCUAACCAGAAAGCCACGGCUAACUACGUGCCAGCAGCCGCGGUAAUACGUAGCUGGCAAGCGUUAUCCGGAUUUAUUGGGCGUAAAGGGUGCGUAGGCGGCCUGCUAAGUCUGGAGUGAAAGGUACCGGCUCAACCGGUACAGGCUCUGGAA
RNAcentral lists this ribosomal RNA (305 nucleotides) under uncultured bacterium. Its description in RNAcentral is "bacterial SSU rRNA". It matches the Rfam family "Bacterial small subunit ribosomal RNA", at positions 333 to 631 of the family's 1533-position model. The record is from RNAcentral.